CCUUAGAUCGUACCCACAUUUACUUGGAUAACUGUGGUAAUUCUAGAGCUAAUACAUGCAAACCAGAGUUCCGACCAGAGAUGGAAGGAACGCUUUUAUUAGAUCAAAACCAAUCGGUGGCCGGUUCGCCGGUCCAUCGUUUACUUUGGUGACUCUGAAUAACUUUGUGCUGAUCGCAUGGUCUCGUACCGGCGACGCAUCUUUCAAAUGUCUGCCUUAUCAACUGUCGAUGGUAGGUUCUGCGCCUACCAUGGUUGUAACGGGUAACGGGGAAUCAGGGUUCGAUUCCGGAGAGGGAGCCUGAGAAACGGCUACCACAUCCAAGGAAGGCAGCAGGCGCGCAAAUUACCCACUCCCGGCACGGGGAGGUAGUGACGAAAAAUAACGAUACGGGACUCAUCCGAGGCCCCGUAAUCGGAAUGAGUACACUUUAAAUCCUUUAACGAGGAUCCAUUGGAGGGCAAGUCUGGUGCCAGCAGCCGCGGUAAUUCCAGCUCCAAUAGCGUAUAUUAAAGUUGUUGCGGUUAAAAAGCUCGUAGUUGAAUCUGUGUGCCACGCUGUUGGUUCAUCGCUCGCGAUGUUUAACUGACAUGAUUGUGGGACGUCCUACCGGUGGGCUUAGCCUUUCGGGGCGGCCCAGCUAAUAUCCCAUCGCGGUGCUCUUCACCGAGUGUCGAGGUGGGCCGGUACGUUUACUUUGAACAAAUUAGAGUGCUCAAAGCAGGCUAUGUUCGCCUGAAUACUGUGUGCAUGGAAUAAUGGAAUAGGACCUCGGUUCUAUUUUGUUGGUUUUCGGAACCCCGAGGUAAUGAUUAAUAGGGACAGAUGGGGGCAUUCGUAUUGCGACGUUAGAGGUGAAAUUCUUGGAUCGUCGCAAGACGGACAGAAGCGAAAGCAUUUGCCAAAAAUGUUUUCAUUAAUCAAGAACGAAAGUUAGAGGUUCGAAGGCGAUCAGAUACCGCCCUAGUUCUAACCAUAAACGAUGCCAGCUAGCGAUCCGCCGAAGUUCCUCCGAUGACUCGGCGGGCAGCUUCCGGGAAACCAAAGCUUUUGGGUUCCGGGGGAAGUAUGGUUGCAAAGCUGAAACUUAAAGGAAUUGACGGAAGGGCACCACCAGGAGUGGAGCCUGCGGCUUAAUUUGACUCAACAC
This 1150-nucleotide ribosomal RNA is filed under the name Eulophus sp. D1619. RNAcentral describes it as "SSU rRNA". It matches the Rfam family "Eukaryotic small subunit ribosomal RNA", at positions 118 to 1206 of the family's 1831-position model. The record is from RNAcentral. Lineage: Eukaryota; Metazoa; Arthropoda; Insecta; Hymenoptera; Eulophidae.